This 341-nucleotide unclassified non-coding RNA is filed under the name soil metagenome. Its description in RNAcentral is "partial contains 5.8S ribosomal RNA, internal transcribed spacer 2, and large subunit ribosomal RNA". The stretch from base 1 to 120 matches the Rfam family "5.8S ribosomal RNA", at positions 35 to 154 of the family's 154-position model. The record is from RNAcentral.
GAUGAAGAACGUAGUGAAAUGCGAUAAGUAGUGUGAAUUGCAGAAUUCAGUGAAUCAUCGAAUCUUUGAACGCACAUUGCGCCCUUUGGUAUUCCAAAGGGCAUGCCUGUUCGAGCGUCAUUUGUACCCUCAAGCUUUGCUUGGUGUUGGGCGUCUUGUCUCUAGCUUUGCUGGAGACUCGCCUUAAAGUAAUUGGCAGCCGGCCUACUGGUUUCGGAGCGCAGCACAAGUCGCACUCUCUAUCAGCAAAGGUCUAGCAUCCAUUAAGCCUUUUUUUUCAACUUUUGACCUCGGAUCAGGUAGGGAUACCCGCUGAACUUAAGCAUAUCAAUAAGCGAGGA